GAAAUGCGAUACGUAAUGUGAAUUGCAGAAUUCCGUGAAUCAUCGAAUCUUUGAACGCACAUUGCACUCUCUUUCGGGAGAGUAUGCCUGUUUGAGAAUCUAAAGUAAUUAUUUCUCAUCAAAAAAAUUUGAUGAGAAGAUUUGGGGAAUCGUGUUUAAACCGCGCGCUCCCUUAAAUAAAUAGCUAGUAUUUUGCACUAAUGCUUAAAGUAUUUGAAUACCAAGAUUUGGUUUAUACCUGUACUUUGCAAAAGGGCUAUUUAUAAUACUGGUUCAUAAACCUAGGAGGGGGAAUACUCUUCCCCCUUGAACCUUGGUCUCAAAUCAGGUAGGAAGACCCGCUGAACUUAA
Molecule: unclassified non-coding RNA, 351 nt
Filed under: uncultured fungus
Lineage: Eukaryota; Fungi
Description: sequence contains ITS1
Rfam family: 5.8S ribosomal RNA (bases 1-101)
Source: RNAcentral